This 141-nucleotide ribosomal RNA is filed under the name uncultured bacterium. RNAcentral describes it as "partial 16S ribosomal RNA". It matches the Rfam family "Bacterial small subunit ribosomal RNA", at positions 357 to 490 of the family's 1533-position model. The record is from RNAcentral.
GGGAAUCUUCCACAAUGGGCGAAAGUCUGAUGGAGCAACGCCGCGUGAGUGAAGAAGGUUUUCGGGUCGUAAAACUCUGUUGUCGGAGAAGAAUGUAUCUGAUAGUAACUGAUCAGGUAGUGACGGUAUCCAACCAGAAAG